Non-coding RNA from Pelobates cultripes (western spadefoot toad), 357 nucleotides. Lineage: Eukaryota; Metazoa; Chordata; Amphibia; Anura; Pelobatidae. The record is from the annotation of a GenBank genome assembly.
GUUCGGGUCCCCAUUGACUUCAAUGGGGUUCGGGUUUGGGGUCAAAUUCGGGGUCAAGUUCGAUCCCGAACUCGGACUUUUUUUCAAAGUUUGGCCGAACCCGCCGGACCCGAACAUGCAGGUGUCCGUUCAGCUCUAUAUAAGACCAUUCAAAUGGCAAUAGAAUAUGGUAUCAAAGAAUUUGUCAUCAUAACUGAUUCCAACUAUGUUCGCAACAGUUUCGUCAAAUAUCUGCCUAACUGCCAACAUAACCAAAUGCUGAAAAGCAAUAACAAACCUGUUAAACAUGGAAAAUUUGUCCGCAAUAAUAUGGUCCAACCCAUCAUGCACCAGAAGUGGGGGGUGUCAUUAUCCUGG